GUGGGGAAUCUUGCGCAAUGGGCGAAAGCCUGACGCAGCCAUGCCGCGUGAAUGAUGAAGGUCUUAGGAUUGUAAAAUUCUUUCACCGGGGACGAUAAUGACGGUACCCGGAGAAGAAGCUCCGGCUAACUUCGUGCCAGCAGCCGCGGUAAUACGAAGGGGGCUAGCGUUGCUCGGAAUUACUGGGCGUAAAGGGCGCGUAGGCGGACAGCUUAGUCAGAGGUGAAAGCCCAGGGCUCAACCUUGGAAUUGCCUUUGAUACUGGCUGUCUUGAGUUUGGGAGAGGUGAGUGGAACUCCGAGUGUAGAGGUGAAAUUCGUAGAUAUUCGGAAGAACACCAGUGGCGAAGGCGACUCACUGGCCUAGAACUGACGCUGAAGCGCGAAAGCGUGGGGAGCGAACAGGAUUAGAUACCCGAGUAGUCC
Molecule: ribosomal RNA, 425 nt
Filed under: uncultured bacterium
Lineage: Bacteria
Description: partial 16S ribosomal RNA
Rfam family: Bacterial small subunit ribosomal RNA
Source: RNAcentral